UUUGCAAUGGUGGUUAGAAUCUGUCUCCAUGGUAACCUCUCCAAAGUCACAAUCAUCCGUUUGUUCAUCGGACUCAGACACAAUCAUCCUUGAAGACACGCCUACCAGAAAGCGUCAGAGGCUGGACUCUGAAGCUAUGCAACUGGUGAAAUCCAUUCUUACCAAGAAAUCGGGUGGAGAAAUAUAUAAUAAAUGAAUACAACCGAACUAAGUCCUUGACAGAACAGAGCAGAAGAAAAUUGGUGAAUAUACUGGCAGCUGAGAUGACGGAGAAGAAUGGGUAAGCUGUUUAUUGGUUUUGAUUGGCACAUGUGUUCUUAUUUAGGUUUCAGAGUAAUCUAAAGUAAAUAAUAAACAUUUCACUUCAUCUUAUAAAACGUGUGUAUGACGAAUAAACUUGAAUGUGAUUUUUUUAAGUACCUCUCCGUCAAGACAGUUGAAGGAAAUGUAUGCACAAGGAAUUGUGAACUUGUUCCCCAACCUCAGAGACCCAUUUUCCAAGAAUGGCUAUGAACAUUUUUAUGGAGAAUUAAAACUAUUCAGAGAUGCAGUGCUAAAGAAAGGCGAUCAUCAUUUGGAGCUUUGGCGGAAGGACCAUCUGAUGAAGACAAGUCGGGAGGACCAACUGUUGGACGAGUUACCCAAUUCCAUCCAGAGAUUGUCCUGUCUUGGAAGAGAUGUCACUGAUGAAAGAUUCGGCUGACGUGGACAUGGUCAUCAAAAAGAUAAAGCUGACAUUUGCCCAUCGGCAUAACAUGGUCCUGGACCAACAGCAGUCAAGCAACAUUCUAUCUUAUUUUCCUCGUUUUAAAGACAUCAAUGGCUUGGUUGAACAGGAUUUGGUUGUAAUGUUUGGAGAGGAUUAAUCGUGCAAGUUUCUGGAGAAGUGGUCAACCACAUUCAAAAAGAAGACCUUCCAACAAUGCAGAAAGCUUCCCUCCAAUUUUGAGCUUGAGGAACUCCUGAUGGCAGCUGACCCUCCUGAGGAUGGGGCUGAAGUGAAUGUUGACUUUGGUUGGGACAGCGACCUCUCAUCGAUUUUGCUGCUCUUACACUUGAUCCCACCGACUGCUCUAGGUCAGAAGAGGCCAGGAGAAGUUUCUGCAUCCCGGGCUGAGAAGCAUCUUGUGGUCUUCAAAAAUGUUUGUAUUGUUCUCUAAUGAAGGACAUUUAGUUUACAAUAAUUUAUGUAAUCAUUUCUAUUAUAUAACCACAACCGUGUCGAUUUUUUUUAUUCUUCUCACCAUAGACUGGAUAAAACAUCCUAGAACAUCUUGACACCAUUAUUACCAGCACUCAACCCUAUAUCCUGGCUGUUGGAGUGAGGAAGAAUACAAUCCACGAGUUCUUCAUAAUUCUCGACAAGAAUGCCGUACCUUGCAGGUCACACUCCUCUCUCGGUGCUUUUGAUGAACUGUUUAAAGCACAUUUUGUUUGCGACAUCAUACCACACAAUGCUCCACAACAUGUACACAUUCAUGCCUUACUCCAAACCAUUUGAUGUUCAAAUGGCGUAUGGAACAUCAUGUUCCUCAUUGUAUGUUGUCCCAUAUUGCCAUUUCAUGCAGACCUAAGUUCACCCUUUAUGUAUUCUGUCCCUAAAGUUGAUUGUCCUGCCUGACAAAUAAAUAAAGGUUACUAAACAUAUGAUAUUGUAUUACUGUGUUUUGCACUCACUUGCUAUUUACAAGACAAGGUUGGUGAGACUUAAUUUGACACUGCACAAGAGUAAAUCAAGUAGAAUGAGCGCCAUUUUUUUUUUCAGAAAUAGUGUGAGGUUUAAUAAAAACUGCAAUGUUUAGCACAUUUUUACUGUUUACUAAAUAUUUUUUUCUU
Nerophis ophidion (straightnose pipefish) is the source of this 1836-nucleotide long non-coding RNA. RefSeq lists it as uncharacterized. The transcript has 6 exons. The record is from RefSeq and is a predicted model, not a curated record. Lineage: Eukaryota; Metazoa; Chordata; Actinopteri; Syngnathiformes; Syngnathidae.